CCUACGGGAGGCAGCAGUAAGGGAUAUUGCGCAAUGGGGGAAACCCUGACGCAGCAACGCCGCGUGGGCGAUGAAGGUCUUCGGAUUGUAAAGCCCUUUUCUGGGGGAUGAGGAAGGACAGUACCCCAGGAAUAAGUCUCGGCUAACUACGUGCCAGCAGCCGCGGUAAAACGUAGGAGGCAAGCGUUAUCCGGAUUUACUGGGCGUAAAGGGCGUCUAGGCGGUGUCCUAAGUUGAGCGUGAAAUCUCCCGGCUCAACUGGGAGGGGUCGUUCAAUACUGGGACACUUGAGGGCAGGAGAGGAAAGUGGAAUUCCCGGUGUAGUGGUGGAAUACUUAGAUAUCGGGAGGAACACCAGUGGCGAAGGCGGCUUUCUGGCCUGCACCUGACGCUGAAGCGCGAAAGCGUGGGUAGCGAACGGGAUUAGAUACCCCGGUAGUCCACGCCGUAAACGAUGGAUACUAGGUGUUGGUGGCUAUUGACCCCAUCAGUGCCGCAGCUAACGCAUUAAGUAUCCCGCCUGGGGACUACGGCCGCAAGGCUAAAACUCAAAGGAAUUGACGG
This 564-nucleotide ribosomal RNA is filed under the name uncultured Chloroflexota bacterium. RNAcentral describes it as "bacterial SSU rRNA". It matches the Rfam family "Bacterial small subunit ribosomal RNA", at positions 338 to 916 of the family's 1533-position model. Lineage: Bacteria; Bacillati; Chloroflexota. The record is from RNAcentral.